CAGGGAUGAAAACACAGCGCGGUUGGUAGUCCGUGCGCCGGGGCCUGCCUGGUCAGUAACCCUCCCUCCCAUGGGUCGUCCGUUCCCUGCGGAU
RNAcentral lists this non-coding RNA (94 nucleotides) under uncultured Butyricicoccus sp. Its description in RNAcentral is "yjdF RNA". It matches the Rfam family "azaaromatic riboswitch aptamer (yjdF RNA)", at positions 6 to 91 of the family's 101-position model. The record is from RNAcentral. Lineage: Bacteria; Bacillati; Bacillota; Clostridia; Eubacteriales; Butyricicoccaceae.